This 588-nucleotide ribosomal RNA is filed under the name uncultured cyanobacterium. RNAcentral describes it as "bacterial SSU rRNA". It matches the Rfam family "Bacterial small subunit ribosomal RNA", at positions 85 to 690 of the family's 1533-position model. The record is from RNAcentral. Lineage: Bacteria; Bacillati; Cyanobacteriota.
GAAAGAUAUAAAGUGGGCAGGGUGAGUAACACGUAGGUAAUGUACCUUUGGGUGGGGAAUAACAGUCGGAAACGACUGCUAAUACCGCAUAAUGCAGCGGCUCCUUAUGGAGACAGUUGUUAAAGAUUUAUCGCCUAAAGAGCAGCCUGCGGCAGAUUAGCUAGUUGGUAAGGUAAUGGCUUACCAAGGCUACGAUCUGUAUCCGACCUGAGAGGGUGGUCGGACACACUGACACUGAAUAACGGGUCAGACUCCUACGGGAGGCAGCAGUCGGGAAUUUUGGGCAAUGGGCGAAAGCCUGACCCAGCAACGCCGCGUGAAGGAUGAAGUCUCUCGGGAUGUAAACUUCGUAAGAAUAGGAAGAAUAAAUGACGGUACUAUUUGUAAGGUCCGGCUAACUACGUGCCAGCAGCCGCGGUAAUACGUAGGGACCAAGCGUUGUUCGGAUUUACUGGGCGUAAAGGGCGCGUAGGCGGCAAUUCAAGUCAGUUGUGAAAUCUCCGAGCUUUACUCGGAACGGUCAACUGAUACUGCUUUGCUAGAGUACAGAAGGGGCAAUCGGAAUUCUUGGUGUAGCGGUGAAAUGCG